Molecule: non-coding RNA, 111 nt
Organism: Acanthosepion pharaonis
Lineage: Eukaryota; Metazoa; Mollusca; Cephalopoda; Sepiida; Sepiidae
Source: the annotation of a GenBank genome assembly
UUACGGCCAUAUCACGUUGAAACACCAGUUACAGUUCACCGAAGUAAAGCAAUAUCGAUCCUGAUCAGUACCUAGAUGGGUGACCGCUUAGAAAUACCAGGUGUUGCAAGC